GACAGAGGGUGCAAACGUUGUUCGGAAUUACUGGGCGUAAAGCGAGUGUAGGCGGUUUGGUAAGUCGGAUGUGAAAGCCCCGGGCUCAACCCGGGAAGUGCACUCGAUACUGCCAAGCUAGAGUAUCGGAGAGGUUGGUGGAAUUCUCGGUGUAGAGGUGAAAUUCAUAGAUAUCGAGAGGAACACCGGUGGCGAAGGCGGCCAACUGGACGAAUACUGACGCUGAGACUCGAAAGCGUGGGGAGCAAACAGG
This 253-nucleotide ribosomal RNA is filed under the name uncultured bacterium. RNAcentral describes it as "partial 16S ribosomal RNA". It matches the Rfam family "Bacterial small subunit ribosomal RNA", at positions 524 to 776 of the family's 1533-position model. The record is from RNAcentral.